UGAAAAAAGAAAGAAAGAAAGAAAGAAAGAAAGAAAGAAAGAAAGAAAGAAAGAAAGAAAGAAAGAAAAAAGAAAUCCUCUGGCAAUGGUGGCUCUGUUGUUGCUAGAACUGCUGUUCAGGAGAUUCUGACUUUUCUUUCUUUAUUGUAAAGCAUAUGCCUUGCUUUCCCCAGGAGUUGCUGAGACAGGCAGUAUUCUUCCAGACAGUCGGUGCAUUGAGUUGGUGGCACAGUAGCAAAUCAAGAUUGAUGUGUCCUUGUAGCAGUGUGUCUAAAGCAGUGUCAUCACUGUUUGGGACUGCUCUGUAGGUGUGCCUUUCAAAUCUCAUAUUUAUCACGUCUUUCUUUCUUACUUAGACCUGUAAUCAUCAUCACACAUUAAUUUUAACAUUGCUAGUGUUUACAGAAUGCUAAUUUUGUUCACUGUGACUCUAUAAGAUAUAUUGGACAAUAUAUUCGUUUUAUGCACAUUUUGCAUAUGAGGCUGCUGAGGGUCCCAAUUCACACAGCAGCUAUGUUCUGACAUCUUUGGCCAACCUUUGAUAUAGCAGGACUGGGAGAGAGAUGGUUAACACUGACAGCCCAGGAGAGACUGGGGCUUUGAACCCAGUGCCCAGGCAGGCAAUGGAGAGAAGUCUGGCUAGCCAGGGCAUGGGUCCGUGGGUCCAAGUAAAAAGAGAAUAGAUGUCAUUCCAGACUGGUGAUGGUUGUCUCUCUGCCCCAUAGAUCACCUGGUGUCACCUGAGAGGGAUCAGAGCAAACAGCUCUCUGCACACAGGCAACCAACUGCUUCAGGUCAGAGAGGGCAAGGAGCCAGUCCUGGCCUUCCAGGCGCUGGAAGUCUUGUUUAUAAAAUGAAGGUUUGAACCAGCCAAUGUUGAAGGUUCCUUCUGGAUCUAGAACACUUUUGCACUUUAAGAUUUUGUGAAUCAGCUAAGACAAACAGUUUGAAAACACAGU
This is a long non-coding RNA of Herpailurus yagouaroundi (jaguarundi), 959 nucleotides long. RefSeq lists it as uncharacterized. The transcript has 2 exons. The record is from RefSeq and is a predicted model, not a curated record. Lineage: Eukaryota; Metazoa; Chordata; Mammalia; Carnivora; Felidae.